This 305-nucleotide ribosomal RNA is filed under the name uncultured bacterium. RNAcentral's name for it is "bacterial SSU rRNA". It matches the Rfam family "Bacterial small subunit ribosomal RNA", at positions 338 to 659 of the family's 1533-position model. The record is from RNAcentral.
CCUACGGGGCGCAGCAGUGGGGAAUAUUGCGCAAUGGGGGAAACCCUGACGCAGCAACGCCGCGUGAGUGAGGAAGUAUCUCGGUAUGUAAAGCUCUAUCAGCGGGGAAGAAAGAGGACGGUACCUGACUAAGAAGCCCCGGCUAACUACGUGCCAGCAGCCGCGGUAAUACGUAGGGGGCAAGCGUUAUCCGGAUUUACUGGGUGUAAAGGGUGCGUAGGUGGCAGGGCAAGUCAGAUGUGAAAGCCCGGGGCUCAACCCCGGUACUGCAUUUGAAACUGUCCAGCUGGAGUGCAGGAGAGGUA